AGUGUCUUGUGGCAUCUGAUCCUUUAAAGAACACUGCACUAUCUGCUUUUUUCCAUGUUCUUGCUUUGAUUCUCCAUGGAGAUACCGCUGCCCGUGAAGUUGCCUCAAAGGCUGGUCUUGUCAAGGUUGUUUUGAAUCUGCUGUGCAGCUGGGAGUUGGAGCCAAGGGAAGGUCAAACAACCAAGGUUCCCAAUUGGGUUACUUCCUGUUUCCUUUCUGCUGAUAGAAUGCUCCAGUUGGAACCCAAGUUGCCAGAUGUUACUGAGCUUGAUGUUCUCAAAAAGGAUAAUUCACCUACACAAACAUCUGUUGUGAUUGAUGACAGCAAGAAGAAGGAUUCAGAAUCUUCCUCAAGUGUAGGGUUAUUGGACUUGGAGGACCAGGAGCAACUUUUGAGGAUAUGCUGUAAAUGCAUUCAGAAGCAGUUGCCUUCCGGUACAAUGCAUGCUAUUCUUCAGUUGUGUGCUACACUGACGAAAGUCCAUGUGGCUGCUAUCAGUUUUCUUGAGUCUGGUGGCCUACAUGCGUUGCUAAGUUUGCCGACAAGUAGCUUGUUUUCUGGAUUCAACAGUGUGGUUUCUACAAUUAUCCGUCAUAUUUUGGAGGAUCCCCAUACUCUUCAGCAAGCUAUGGAAUUAGAGAUACGCCAUAGUCUUGUCACGGCUGCUAAUAGGCAUGCAAAUCCUAGGGUUACACCACGUAAUUUUGUUCAGAAUUUGGCGUUUGUUGUAUACAGGGACCCAGUGAUAUUUAUGAAGGCUGCCCAAGCUGUGUGCCAGAUUGAGAUGGUUGGAGAUAGACCGUAUGUUGUUCUAUUGAAGGACCGUGAGAAGGAAAAGAGCAAGGAAAAAGAGAAGGAUAAGCUGGUUGAUAAGGAUAAAUCAUCAGGUGUUGCCACAAAGAUAACAUCAGGGGACAUGGUUAUGGCAUCUCCUGUAAGUGCCAAAGGGAAACAAUCUGAUUUGAGUGCAAGGAAUAUGAAAUCUCAUCGCAAGCCACCACAAACCUUUGUCACUGUUAUUGAGCAUCUAUUAGAUCUAGUAAUGUCCUUUGUCCCACCACAAAGAGCUGAGGACCAAUCUGAUGGUUCGUCAUCCAUGGACAUGGAUAUUGACUCUAGUUCAGCAAAAGGUAAAGGGAAGGCCGUUGCUGUCACACAUGAAGAGUCCAAGCAAGCAAUCCAAGAUGCUACUGCAUGUCUGGCUAAAAACGCAUUUGUCCUAAAGCUGCUCACAGAUGUACUAUUAACUUAUGCUUCUUCCGUUCAAGUUGUUCUUCGCCAUGAUGCUGAGUUGAGCAGCACGCGAGGUCCUACUCGGACCAGUGGUGGAAUAUUUAAUCAUAUAUUGCAGCAUUUGCUUCCACAUGCUACAAAACAAAAGAAAAAAAAAAA
Molecule: small RNA, 1393 nt
Filed under: Triticum aestivum (bread wheat)
Lineage: Eukaryota; Viridiplantae; Streptophyta; Magnoliopsida; Poales; Poaceae
Description: pathogen-induced lncRNA
Source: RNAcentral